CGGAGAGGCAUCUCUACCGUCUGGAAAGUUUUUCGGUCUGGGAUGGACUCGCGGCCUAUCAGCUAGUUGGUGAGGUAAUGGCUCACCAAGGCGACGACGGGUAGCCGGCCUGAGAGGGCGACCGGCCACACUGGGACUGAGACACGGCCCAGACUCCUACGGGAGGCAGCAGUGGGGAAUAUUGCACAAUGGGCGAAAGCCUGAUGCAGCGACGCCGCGUGAGGGAUGACGGCCUUCGGGUUGUAAACCUCUUUCAGCAGGGAAGAAGCGAAAGUGACGGUACCUGCAAAAGAAGCACCGGCUAACUACGUGCCAGCAGCCGCGGUAAUACGUAGGGUGCGAGCGUUGUCCGGAAUUAUUGGGCGUAAAGAGCUUGUAGGCGGUUUGUCGCGUCUGCAGUGAAAAUCCGAGGCUCAACCUCG
RNAcentral lists this ribosomal RNA (422 nucleotides) under uncultured bacterium. RNAcentral describes it as "bacterial SSU rRNA". It matches the Rfam family "Bacterial small subunit ribosomal RNA", at positions 181 to 617 of the family's 1533-position model. The record is from RNAcentral.